RNAcentral lists this ribosomal RNA (497 nucleotides) under uncultured bacterium. Its description in RNAcentral is "partial 16S ribosomal RNA". It matches the Rfam family "Bacterial small subunit ribosomal RNA", at positions 28 to 507 of the family's 1533-position model. The record is from RNAcentral.
GAUGAACGCUGGCGGCGUGCCUAAUACAUGCAAGUCGAGCGAACAGAUGAGGAGCUUGCUCCUCUGACGUUAGCGGCGGACGGGUGAGUAACACGUGGAUAACCUACCUAUAAGACUGGGAUAACUUCGGGAAACCGGAGCUAAUACCGGAUAAUAUAUUGAACCGCAUGGUUCAAUAGUGAAAGACGGUUUUGCUGUCACUUAUAGAUGGAUCCGCGCCGCAUUAGCUAGUUGGUAAGGUAACGGCUUACCAAGGCAACGAUGGGUAGCCGACCUGAGAGGGUGGUCGGCCACACUGGAACUGAGACACGGUCCAGACUCCUACGGGAGGCAGCAGUAGGGAAUCUUCCGCAAUGGGCGAAAGCCUGACGGAGCAACGCCGCGUGAGUGAUGAAGGUCUUCGGAUCGUAAAACUCUGUUAUUAGGGAAGAACAAAUGUGUAAGUAACUAUGCACGUCUUGACGGUACCUAAUCAGAAAGCCACGGCUAACUACGUG